GACGAACGCUGGCGGCGUGCUUAACACAUGCAAGUCGAACGGAAAGGCCCCCUUAUGGGGUACUCGAGUGGCGAACGGGUGAGUAACACGUGAGUAACCUACCCUUGACUUUGGGAUAACUUCAGGAAACUGGGGCUAAUACCGGAUAGGAGCUCCUGCUGCAUGGUGGGGGUUGGAAAGUUUCGGCGGUUGGGGAUGGACUCGCGGCUUAUCAGCUUGUUGGUGGGGUAGUGGCUCACCAAGGCUUUGACGGGUAGCCGGCCUGAGAGGGUGACCGGCCACAUUGGGACUGAGAUACGGCCCAGACUCCUACGGGAGGCAGCAGUGGGGAAUAUUGCACAAUGGGCGGAAGCCUGAUGCAGCAACGCCGCGUGCGGGAUGACGGCCUUCGGGUUGUAAACCGCUUUCGCCUGUGACGAAGCGUGAGUGACGGUAAUGGGUAAAGAAGCACCGGCUAACUACG
RNAcentral lists this ribosomal RNA (463 nucleotides) under uncultured bacterium. Its description in RNAcentral is "partial 16S ribosomal RNA". It matches the Rfam family "Bacterial small subunit ribosomal RNA", at positions 28 to 505 of the family's 1533-position model. The record is from RNAcentral.